GAUGAACGCUGGCGGCGUGCCUAAUACAUGCAAGUCGAGCGAACAGACGAGGAGCUUGCUCCUCUGACGUUAGCGGCGGACGGGUGAGUAACACGUGGAUAACCUACCUAUAAGACUGGGAUAACUUCGGGAAACCGGAGCUAAUACCGGAUAAUAUAUUGAACCGCAUGGUUCAAUAGUGAAAGACGGUUUUGCUGUCACUUAUAGAUGGAUCCGCGCCGCAUUAGCUAGUUGGUAAGGUAACGGCUUACCAAGGCGACGAUGCGUAGCCGACCUGAGAGGGUGAUCGGGCACAAGGGAAGUGAGACACGGUCCAGACUCCUACGGGAGGCAGCAGUAGGGAAUCUUCCGCAAUGGGCGAAAGCGUGACGGAGCAACGCGGCGUGAGUGAUGAAGGUAUUCGGAUCGGAAAACUCUGUUAUUAGGGAAGAACAUAUGUGUAAGGAACUGUGCACAUCUUGACGGUACCGAAUCAGAAAGCCACGGCUAACUACGUG
Molecule: ribosomal RNA, 497 nt
Filed under: uncultured bacterium
Lineage: Bacteria
Description: partial 16S ribosomal RNA
Rfam family: Bacterial small subunit ribosomal RNA
Source: RNAcentral